CUGGCAAGGGCUCCUGGAAACUGGGGAGCUGUGUCAUUUAUGUGGCUCCAACUUUGAAAGACUGUAGGAAGGAAGCUCACAGGUCUGUUGAAACAACCCAAAUCACAGGCAUGCUUACUGUCUCUUAAGGCUCAGUUUUGCAAUCUUAGGAAAAGCACAUGUCCUCUCUGGGCCUAGUUUCUUUGUAAACCGAGAAACCUGGAUGGGCUGUUGAGCCUCCUGCUGGCUCUCAGUCCGGCAGAAAGCAACAGACUUUGCCAGAGGAGGAGGGCACCUUCCGAAGUACCAGGCAAGUUUCCUGGGGUCUUGGAAUGCAGUGGUGUGAUCUUGGCUCACUGUCCCCCCAGGCUCAAGCCAUCCUUCCAUUUCAGCCUCGCGAGUAGCUGGGACUACAAGCAUGCAUCACCAUGCCCAGCUAAUUAUUUGUAGAGACAGUACAGUAUUUCACCACAUUGCCCAUGAAGGACUGGUCUUGAACUCCUAAGCUCAAGUGAUCUACCUUGGCCUCCCAAAGUGCUGGGAUCACAGGUUUACCCUCAUGUUCGCUGAUUUGAUUUGAUGCAAAAAAAAUCCAGAGCCUCAGGCCUCUGGUUUGGGAUGGCAUGGGAAACAGAAGAGAGGUACAGAUAUCUUAAGGGUGGUCUCUGAUGCUGAGGAGACCCCUCUCACCUGGAGCUGCUGACCAGCCCCAAGCACUGGGGUCCUGGUAGGCCUUAUGAUAAAUGAUGGCUGAAAAGACUGGGGGAAGCAUAGAGCUGAUGGAGGUGAAGGUGCUUUCCCAUGUCCUCCCUCCCCCAAAGACACAGGACAAGUGAAGAACCUCUUCAGACCACUGGUUAGUCUAUGAAUUCAAUUUCAGAUACACAAAAGCCUGGGUGAGGGGUGCUCCACAUAGAAAGAAAUGGAAGAGAUGCAGCUUUAAAAUACAGACGAUCAUUCAAAAAAAUUGUGACCAUUUGGGGUAUAAAGUUGGGUAUUAGUCAAUCAGCUAGAAUACAUGCUUCAGGAGGCCACAGAAUGGAGACGGAAUAAAACUAGAAAAAUGAUUGUUUUUGUGUCUAAAACUAAUGCACGACAGAGUCACAGCAGCAAUGCUAGGAGGAUGAGAUUCCUCAGCAAUGCCGGGAAGAUCUGAGAAAACCAGCAGGAGGAUGCCCACACUGGGAACAGAAAGCUCCAAGAUUGCUCCUUUCUCUUAAGAGAAAAUGACCUGCCUUGACUUCUGUUUCAAGACAGUCAACUAAUGCUGAACUAUAAAAACAAGGCUAACAAGAGACAGAAUAAAUACCAAAAAGCUCUCCGAGAUUCACUCCUGACAGUGAUAAUUAAAAACACAACCUAUGAGUUGUUAAAAAACCCCAAAAUAACAAGGAAUGCUUCUGAAAAAUAUGUACUUCAUCUAUUUAUUAUAACAAAGGAAAAUAAAAUGUGAAAAGUGAG
This 1440-nucleotide long non-coding RNA is filed under the name Homo sapiens (human). Its description in RNAcentral is "HSALNT0335963". Lineage: Eukaryota; Metazoa; Chordata; Mammalia; Primates; Hominidae. The record is from RNAcentral.